This 254-nucleotide ribosomal RNA is filed under the name uncultured bacterium. Its description in RNAcentral is "partial 16S ribosomal RNA". It matches the Rfam family "Bacterial small subunit ribosomal RNA", at positions 524 to 777 of the family's 1533-position model. The record is from RNAcentral.
UACAGAGGGUGCAAGCGUUAAUCGGAAUUACUGGGCGUAAAGCGCGCGUAGGUGGUUUGUUAAGUUGGAUGUGAAAUCCCCGGGCUCAACCUGGGAACUGCAUUCAAAACUGACAAGCUAGAGUAUGGUAGAGGGUGGUGGAAUUUCCUGUGUAGCGGUGAAAUGCGUAGAUAUAGGAAGGAACACCAGUGGCGAAGGCGACCACCUGGACUGAUACUGACACUGAGGUGCGAAAGCGUGGGGAGCGAACAGGA